CCUACGGGAGGCAGCAGUGGGGAAUAUUGCGCAAUGGGCGAAAGCCUGACGCAGCGACGCCGCGUGAGGGAUGAAGGUCUUCGGAUCGUAAACCUCUGUCAGCAGGGAAGAACGGUCACUGUGCUAAUCAGCAGUGAAUUGACGGUACCUGCAAAGGAAGCACCGGCUAACUCCGUGCCAGCAGCCGCGGUAAUACGGAGGGUGCGAGCGUUAAUCGGAAUUACUGGGCGUAAAGCGCUCGUAGGCGGUAUGUCAAGGCAAGGGUGAAAUCCCCGCGCUCAACGUGGGAACUGCCGUUGAAACUGGCAGACUGGAGUGUGUGAGAGGAUAGUGGAAUUCGAGGUGUAGGGGUGAAAUCCGUAGAUAUCUGGAAGAACAUCAGUGGCGAAGGCGACUAUCUGGCACAUAACUGACGCUGAGGAGCGAAAGCGUGGGUAGCGAACAGGAUUAGAUACCCCUGUAGUC
This 465-nucleotide ribosomal RNA is filed under the name uncultured bacterium. RNAcentral's name for it is "partial 16S ribosomal RNA". It matches the Rfam family "Bacterial small subunit ribosomal RNA", at positions 338 to 795 of the family's 1533-position model. The record is from RNAcentral.